RNAcentral lists this long non-coding RNA (2189 nucleotides) under Homo sapiens (human). RNAcentral describes it as "HSALNT0094233". The record is from RNAcentral. Lineage: Eukaryota; Metazoa; Chordata; Mammalia; Primates; Hominidae.
AUAAUCUAGCUCAGGACUCACAGAUGAAGAAAAGCAGAGCCAGUAAGGCUGGUCAGCCACAGCCACCCAGAAUGCUUUCUACCUCCAUGCCAGAUGCCCUGUUAAAGCUGCAUGCUUAGAGAUGGCUCACUUUCUAAAGAAGAUGCUUCCACUAUGAUACGAAGUCUCCCUCUUGUACCCCAGGCUGGAGUGCGAUGGCGCGAUCUCGGCUUACUGCAACCUCCGCCUCCCAGGUUCAAGCGAUUCUCCUGCUCAACCUCCCGAGUAGCUGGGAUUACAGGCGCCUGCAAUCACGCCCGACUAAUUUUUGUAUUUUUAGUAGAGGCAGGGUUUCACCAUUUUGGUCAGGCUAGUCUCAAACUCCUGACCUCAGGUGAUCUGCCUGCCUCGGCCUCCCAAAGUGCUGAGAUUACAGGUGUGAGCCACCGCACCUGGCCCCAUGUGUUUUAAGAUGUAGUUUUCAAACUGUAAUUCCAGUUUUUUAAGGACUCACAGGGUUCUUUUCAAUGGAACCUAUCCUAUUUAUUUUCUCCCUUUUUGUCUUUAGGCAAUUUUCCUCAUUACCUGAUAAGACUUGUCUCUUAAUCUUUGUUUUUCCCUAUGUAGAAGUCCCUGGCUCUUUUCCUGACUUUUGCUGGUAUUGGUAAGCUUAGAUAUCCGCAUUACAGCUUUAUUGGGAUAUAUGUGUGUGUGUUUUUCAAAAUAACUUAAAAGCACUCUUAUUUCACCCCUUUAUUUGAGUAACACUGGGCUAAAACAAAAUUUGGUUGAGAUUAUGUUUGUUUUUACUUGCUGGAAAUUAAUAAAUUUUUACAUUUUAAUAUGUAGCACAUAGGUAUAUACAAACAAGAUUAACUUGUUUAAAAGAAAAGCUGGCAACUUUUAGACAAAAAGAAACUUACUUUCUGUGCACUGCACAUUUAAUUAGAUGAAAAGGAGAAUAUAUUUCAACCAUGGAAGUUUCCGAGGCCUUUGGCACACUAGAUUUUUCAUAGAGGCCAACGUAUAUGAAGUGAGUCUUAAAGACAGGAUGCAACUUCAGUUCGGGAAUUUGGUUAAUUUUUUUUAAUCACAUAAAUUUACCAGAGGGAUGCAAACUUAAAAACUCCCAAAAGGAAAAAGUAGCAAUCUAGAGAGGAGUUAGAAUUCCUCUAGAUGAAAAUUUUAACUUGUUUCUUCUCAAUGUUUGUAAUUCAUAGAAGAUAAUCCAAUGUCAGGUUUCUGUAUCUACUAGUCUGAUCAUAAAUUUUGCAAAGACAUGAGCAUGUUCUUGAAACUUUAGUGUAUUGGCUCAAUGACAAUGUUCUUACUUGGCUAAUUCUAUAAGAGAUGUAACACAACACCAGAAAUACAGAUGUACUUGAAACUAUUUGUCUUAAUUACAUUUUUUAGUUUACCUGGUCCUAGAAGUGAUAAAUAAUGAAAUUCCUAUGCACAAAACUUUAAAAAAUAUUUCAUUCAGUUGACAAUUUUAAAAUGAGUAUUAACCCAUAGUAAAUGUCAAACAACAAUUAUAAUUAUCCUCUGUUUAUCUCAGGUGCCAAAGGGCAAGUAGAAACAGUAACAUUGUUCUUACCAUCUCAACAGGUGGGUGGAAUAAGACUUUACAAGCACCAUGUGAGCCUCCUCCUAAUUUGAGUCAUGGUAAGGAAAGAGACCCCACUUCCAAAGAACUGUGCUUCACUUUUAAUAAGUGGGUCCUGACUCCCUUCCUCUCAAUGGUGCCUGGAGAAACUACAGAAUCAAGAGUUUGCCCGGGCAUACCAGGAAAGAUUGUCACAAAUUGGUUUGAGGGGUGAGCUAGGCAGUGGUGUCAUGGCAGCAGCAGUGGCUGGGGCCCAAAGAGAAAGGACAGUUUGGAGAAAAGUUAGUUAAGUUGUGAUCUGUCUUUUUUCCUCAUUGCCUAGGGAAAAUUAUUACUUGCCCCAUCACUGAAGAAAUUCACAGCAAUUGCCAGACUGUUGAGGUUAGUGGGGCAUACAAGGGCAACUGCUCCAAAAAUUUCUCUGAGAGGUUUACACAGAGACAUGCACAGCAUUAUGUGGGCACAAAGUUAUUACCUGGAGUGCAGUGGAGGCACCCUAGGGUAUAUUAUACAGCAGUCAGGGUUUGCUUUUUACCAAAAUAUAAUACCUCAUGUUAAAAAAAAAAAAAGUAAAUUUAGACCAGCAAGUGGUUGAAAAGGGAAC